RNAcentral lists this ribosomal RNA (206 nucleotides) under uncultured Synergistaceae bacterium. Its description in RNAcentral is "partial 16S ribosomal RNA". It matches the Rfam family "Bacterial small subunit ribosomal RNA", at positions 568 to 774 of the family's 1533-position model. The record is from RNAcentral. Lineage: Bacteria; Thermotogati; Synergistota; Synergistia; Synergistales; Synergistaceae.
CGCGCAGGCUGUAGAUCAAGUCAGCUGUGAAAUGUCUGGGCUUAACCCGGGCAUGCGGUUGAAACUGAUGUACUGGAGUGCUGUAGAGGCAAGUGGAAUUCCCAGUGUAGCGGUGAAAUGCGUAGAUAUUGGGAAGAACACCGGUGGCGAAGGCGACUUGCUGGGCAACAACUGACGCUGAGGCGCGAAAGCCAGGGGAGCAAACG